GGAAUCCUACGGGGGGCAGCAGUGGGGGAUAUUGCACAAUGGGGGGAACCCUGAUGCAGCGACGCCGCGUGGGUGAAGGAGUGCUUCGGCAUGUAAAGCCCUAUCGGCAGGGAAGAAGCAAGACGGUACCUGACUAAGAAGCCCCGGCUAACUACGUGCCAGCAGCCGCGGUAAUACGUAGGGGGCGAGCGUUAUCCGGAUUCACUGGGUGUAAAGGGAGCGUAGACGGCCAAGCAAGCCAGCGGUGAAAGCCC
Molecule: ribosomal RNA, 254 nt
Filed under: uncultured bacterium
Lineage: Bacteria
Description: partial 16S ribosomal RNA
Rfam family: Bacterial small subunit ribosomal RNA
Source: RNAcentral